This 508-nucleotide ribosomal RNA is filed under the name uncultured bacterium. Its description in RNAcentral is "partial 16S ribosomal RNA". It matches the Rfam family "Bacterial small subunit ribosomal RNA", at positions 28 to 507 of the family's 1533-position model. The record is from RNAcentral.
GACGAACGCUGGCGGCGUGCCUAAUACGUGCAAGUCGAACGCUUCUUUCCUCCCGAGUGCUUGCACUCAAUUGGAAAGAGGAGUGGCGGACGGGUGAGUAACACGUGGGUAACCUACCCAUCAGAGGGGGAUAACACUUGGAAACAGGUGCUAAUACCGCAUAACAGUUUAUGCCGCAUGGCAUAAGAGUGAAAGGCGCUUUCGGGUGUCGCUGAUGGAUGGACCCGCGGUGCAUUAGCUAGUUGGUGAGGUAACGGCUCACCAAGGCCACGAUGCAUAGCCGACCUGAGAGGGUGAUCGGCCACACUGGGACUGAGACACGGCCCAGACUCCUACGGGAGGCAGCAGUAGGGAAUCUUCGGCAAUGGACGAAAGUCUGACCGAGCAACGCCGCGUGAGUGAAGAAGGUUUUCGGAUCGUAAAACUCUGUUGUUAGAGAAGAACAAGGACGUUAGUAACUGAACGUCCCCUGACGGUAUCUAACCAGAAAGACACGGCUAACUACGUG